Molecule: long non-coding RNA, 480 nt
Filed under: Oryza sativa tropical japonica subgroup
Lineage: Eukaryota; Viridiplantae; Streptophyta; Magnoliopsida; Poales; Poaceae
Description: lncRNA OsKeNa_04g0025300
Source: RNAcentral
CUCACGCUCCUCCUAUGCCGCGGCAGCGGCAGUGGUGGCGGCGGCAGCGUCGCCAGCCUGAUCCCAUGGUCCUCCCGGACGCCCAGCUCGCGCAGCUGCAGCAGGAGCGUGUCCACGCUCGGCGUGCCAUCGGCGUCGUGGACGGUGGUCGGCGCGGGCGCGGUGACCCUCGUCGUCUUCGCCGACCUCGCGGUAGCACUUGACGUCGUAGCUCAUACGCAUAUACGCCGGGUACAGACGGCCGCAUGUACAUGCGUCUUCACGUAUAUAUUAGCCAAGCAUGUGUAUAUGGCUGAGCACACUCACAUCGGAGGAGCGUGGAUGCAGGGGGUGCAGCGGAAGGCGAGCGCGGCGGAGGAGCGGCGGCGGGCGAGCGCAGCGGUGGGCAAAGCAGCGGAGGGCGAGCUAGGCGAAGCGGAAGACAGUGGAAGGGACGAGGAGCUCCCCCGUGCUCGGUCGCCACCACCGCCGUGCCCCCGC